This 488-nucleotide ribosomal RNA is filed under the name uncultured bacterium. RNAcentral describes it as "partial 16S ribosomal RNA". It matches the Rfam family "Bacterial small subunit ribosomal RNA", at positions 28 to 507 of the family's 1533-position model. The record is from RNAcentral.
GACGAACGCUGGCGGCGUGCUUAACACAUGCAAGUCGAACGCGCCUGUCCUCUGGGUUUCUGGGGGGUGGGUGAGUGGCGAACGGGUGAGUAACACGUGAGUAACCUGCCCCCUUCUUCGGGAUAACGGUCUGAAAGGGCUGCUAAUACCGGGUAUUCACUGGUCUCCGCAUGGGGUCUGGUGGAAAGGUUUUUUUCUGGUGUGGAAUGGGGUCGCGGCCUCUCAGCUUGUUGGUGGGGUGAUGGCCCACCAAGGCUUUGACGGGUAGCCGGCCUGAGAGGGUGACCGGUCACAUUGGGACGGAGAUACGGCCCAGACUCGUACGGGAGGCAGCAGUGGGGAAUAUUGCACAAUGGGCGAAAGCCUGAUGCAGCGACGCCGCGGGAGGGAUGGAGGCCUUCGGGUUGUGAACCUCUUUCGCCCGUGGUCAAGCCGCGACGUGGGUCGUGGUGAGGGUAGUGGGUAAAGAAGCGCCGGCUAACUACGUG